This 91-nucleotide microRNA precursor is filed under the name Canis lupus familiaris (dog). Its description in RNAcentral is "mir-8799 microRNA precursor family". It matches the Rfam family "mir-8799 microRNA precursor family". RNAcentral also lists the same sequence under 1 other name. Lineage: Eukaryota; Metazoa; Chordata; Mammalia; Carnivora; Canidae. The record is from Rfam by way of RNAcentral.
CGGGGGAGGUCAGAUCCUGGGCUGUGUCCCCGGCACCCUGUGCUCUGGGGCCUGCGCUGUUGGAUUCACGCUCUCGGCCGCGCAGCUGCCU